This 135-nucleotide small RNA is filed under the name Salmonella enterica subsp. enterica serovar Typhi. RNAcentral describes it as "StyR-243". The record is from RNAcentral. Lineage: Bacteria; Pseudomonadati; Pseudomonadota; Gammaproteobacteria; Enterobacterales; Enterobacteriaceae.
CCAUUGCGCCACGGAUGGCCUCUGCCAGUUGCUCAUAACGGCUACGCAGCGGCGAUCCCGGGCGAUAAACCAGCCCCACGGUACGACGCGGCUCCGGCUUAAUGCAUGGCAGAUAAACCACGCCGUCGCGCUUAC